AUACGGAGGGUGCAAGCGUUAUUCGGAAUCACUGGGCGUAAAGGACGCGUAGGCGGGUUGGCAAGUCAGAUGUGAAAUCCUACAGCUUAACUGCAGAACUGCAUUUGAAACUGCUAACCUAGAGUAUGGGAGGGGGAGAUGGAAUUAGUGGUGUAGGGAUAAAAUCCGUAGAUAUCACUAGGAAUACCGAAAGCGAAGGCGAUCUCCUGGAACAUAACUGACGCUAAGGCGUGAAAGCGUGGGGAGCAAACAGGAUUAGAUACCCUAGUAGUCC
This 274-nucleotide ribosomal RNA is filed under the name uncultured bacterium. RNAcentral's name for it is "partial 16S ribosomal RNA". It matches the Rfam family "Bacterial small subunit ribosomal RNA", at positions 523 to 796 of the family's 1533-position model. The record is from RNAcentral.